Molecule: ribosomal RNA, 427 nt
Filed under: uncultured bacterium
Lineage: Bacteria
Description: bacterial SSU rRNA
Rfam family: Bacterial small subunit ribosomal RNA
Source: RNAcentral
UGGGGAAUAUUGGACAAUGGGCGCAAGCCUGAUCCAGCCAUGCCGCGUGUGUGAAGAAGGCCUUCGGGUUGUAAAGCACUUUUGUCCGGAAAGAAAGCGAAUCGACGAAUACCCGGUUUGGAUGACGGUACCGGAAGAAUAAGCACCGGCUAACUUCGUGCCAGCAGCCGCGGUAAUACGAAGGGUGCAAGCGUUACUCGGAAUUACUGGGCGUAAAGCGUGCGUAGGCGGUCUGUUAAGUCUGCUGUGAAAUCCCCGGGCUCAACCUGGGAAUGGCAGCGGAAACUGGCGGGCUAGAGUACGGUAGAGGAUGGUGGAAUUCCCGGUGUAGCGGUUAAAUGCGUAGAGAUCGGGAGGAACACCAGUGGCGAAGGCGGCCAUCUGGACCAGUACUGACGCUGAGGCACGAAAGCGUGGGGAGCAAACA